RNAcentral lists this small nucleolar RNA (90 nucleotides) under Sus scrofa (pig). RNAcentral's name for it is "Small nucleolar RNA SNORD116 (ENSSSCG00070005822.1)". It matches the Rfam family "Small nucleolar RNA SNORD116". From Rfam's summary of the family: HBII-85 is a member of the C/D class of snoRNAs, which contain the C (UGAUGA) and D (CUGA) box motifs. HBII-85 is encoded in a tandemly repeated array with another C/D snoRNA, HBII-52, in the Prader-Willi syndrome (PWS) region of chromosome 15. Unlike most other snoRNAs, HBII-85 is expressed prevalently in the brain (but is absent in PWS patients) and lacks any significant complementarity with ribosomal RNA. The record is from RNAcentral. Lineage: Eukaryota; Metazoa; Chordata; Mammalia; Artiodactyla; Suidae.
GGAUCGAUGAUGACACCCACAAACGCAUUCUUGGAAAUCUGAACAAAAUGAGUGAGAACUCACUACCGUCUCUCAUCGCAAACUGAGUCC